GGCUGAGAAAGACACGCCGAACAAGUAAACAGUGGGAGUGUUGUUGGCGAGUGUGCGCACGAUGCCGCGAGGAUGAGCUGAACAAACAAAACCCAGCAGGGUUUAACCAUUCCCCGAGUUGGAUGCGCCUCCAUCACCAUCUAAGCUUUCCCGAGAGAAAAUCCUUGUCUACAUUCACCCUGCGAUGCCAUCUUCCUCAUUUGGAUGAAUAAACCUUGUCUCCACAUCGUA
Molecule: non-coding RNA, 231 nt
Organism: Maylandia zebra (zebra mbuna)
Lineage: Eukaryota; Metazoa; Chordata; Actinopteri; Cichliformes; Cichlidae
Source: RefSeq, a predicted model, not a curated record